AAAGGAAUUGACGGGACUCCGCACAAGCGGUGGAUCAUGUUGUUUAAUUCGAAGAUACACGAAAAAUCUUACCAGGUCUUGACAUGCUCUGCAAAGCWAUAGAAAWAUAGUGGAGGUUAUCAGGGACACAGGUGGUGCAUGGUUGUCGUCAGUUCGUGUCGUGAGAUGUUAGGUUAAGUCCUAAAACGAGCGCAACCCUUGUCGUUAGUUACCAGCACGUAAUGGUGGGCACUUUAACGAGACUGCCAAUUAAACAUUGGAGGAAGGUGAGGAUUACGUCAAAUCAUCAUGCCCCUUAUGAUCUGGGCUACAAACGUGAUACAAUGGCUGUUACAAAGAGUAGCUGAAGCGCGAGUUUUUAGCCAAUCUCAAAAAAGCAGUCUCAGUUCGGAUUGAAGUCUGUAACUCGACUUCAUGAAGUUGGAAUCGCUAGUAAUCGCGAAUCAGCAUGUCGCGGUGAAUACGUUCUCGGGGUUUGUACACACCGCCCGUCAAACCACGAAAGUUAGCAAUACCCGAAAGCAGCGGCUUAACUUCGCAAGAAGAGGGAACUGUCUAAGGUAGGGUUGAUGAUUGGGGUUAAGUCGUAACAAGGUAUCCCUACCGGAAGGUGGGGAUGGAUCACCUCCUUUCU
RNAcentral lists this ribosomal RNA (634 nucleotides) under Candidatus Phytoplasma fraxini. RNAcentral describes it as "bacterial SSU rRNA". It matches the Rfam family "Bacterial small subunit ribosomal RNA", at positions 903 to 1533 of the family's 1533-position model. The record is from RNAcentral. Lineage: Bacteria; Bacillati; Mycoplasmatota; Mollicutes; Acholeplasmatales; Acholeplasmataceae.